GCUGGAGUAGCGGAAUUGGUAGAUGUACCAAUCAGACUUAGAAUUUGGCACCGUAAGGUGUGGGGGUUCGGUCCCCUUCACCUGUG
Molecule: transfer RNA, 86 nt
Filed under: Caldifermentibacillus hisashii
Lineage: Bacteria; Bacillati; Bacillota; Bacilli; Caryophanales; Bacillaceae
Description: Bacillus hisashii tRNA-Leu
Source: RNAcentral